RNAcentral lists this long non-coding RNA (485 nucleotides) under Salmo salar (Atlantic salmon). RNAcentral describes it as "lncRNA (ENSSSAG00000095453.1)". The record is from RNAcentral. Lineage: Eukaryota; Metazoa; Chordata; Actinopteri; Salmoniformes; Salmonidae.
AUAUGUAUGUAAAUCUAAAUAUAUGUAAUGGCAGGUCUUUACAGGUUAGGGUGUAAUGGCAGGUCUGUACAGGUUAGGGUGUAAUGGUAGGUCUGUAGUUAGGGUGUAAUGGCAGGUCUGUACAUGUUAGGGUGUAAUGGCAGGUCUGUAGUUAGGGUGUAAUGGCAGGUCUGUAGUUAGGGUGUAAUGGCAGGUCUGUAGUUAGGGUGUAAUGGAAGGUCUGUAGUUAGGGUGUAAUGGCAGGUCUGUAGUUAGGGUGUAAUGGCAGGUCUGUAGUUAGGGUGUAUUGGCAGGUCUGUAGUUAGGGUGUAAUGGCAGGUCUGUAGUUAGGGUGUAAUGGCAGGUCUGUAGUUAGGGUGUAAUGGCAGGUCUGUAGUUAGGGUGUAAUGGCAGGUCUGUAGUUAGGGUGUAAUGGCAGGUCUGUAGGUAGGGUGUAAUGUAAGUACAGGUACUGUAAAUCCUCAGUGAUGUGGACACAGAGGGAC